Long non-coding RNA from Melanotaenia boesemani (Boeseman's rainbowfish), 140 nucleotides. RefSeq lists it as uncharacterized. Lineage: Eukaryota; Metazoa; Chordata; Actinopteri; Atheriniformes; Melanotaeniidae. The transcript is spliced from 3 exons. The record is from RefSeq and is a predicted model, not a curated record.
GUGUAAACCAAACGAUUCGGAAAGUGUGCAGGAGAAGUGUAAAUCCUGCAAUCAGGAUUUCCCCCUCUAUAAACUUGAGAAUCACUUCAACGAAUGUGAGAGGUCAUACAUUGACUUAACCGAAGAUGAUGAGAAAGAAA